This 70-nucleotide transfer RNA is filed under the name Mus musculus (house mouse). Its description in RNAcentral is "tRNA-Ser". The record is from RNAcentral. Lineage: Eukaryota; Metazoa; Chordata; Mammalia; Rodentia; Muridae.
GGCGAGAUGGCUCAGCCGGAAGAGCACUGACUGCUCUUCCAGAGGUCCUGAGUUCAAAUCCCAGAAGCCA